Molecule: transfer RNA, 73 nt
Filed under: Plutella xylostella (diamondback moth)
Lineage: Eukaryota; Metazoa; Arthropoda; Insecta; Lepidoptera; Plutellidae
Description: tRNA-Glu
Source: RNAcentral
GCGGUGCUAGCUCAGUCGGGUAAGCGCCCGCUUCUCACGCCAGAGAUGCGGGUUCGAAUCCCGGUGCGGCGCU